This 370-nucleotide RNase P RNA is filed under the name Clostridia bacterium. RNAcentral's name for it is "RNase P RNA component class A". It matches the Rfam family "Bacterial RNase P class A". Rfam says of the family: Ribonuclease P (RNase P) is a ubiquitous endoribonuclease, found in archaea, bacteria and eukarya as well as chloroplasts and mitochondria. Its best characterised activity is the generation of mature 5'-ends of tRNAs by cleaving the 5'-leader elements of precursor-tRNAs. Cellular RNase Ps are ribonucleoproteins. The record is from RNAcentral. Lineage: Bacteria; Bacillati; Bacillota; Clostridia.
CAACAAAGCGGCGCGAUCGCGUCAUAUUAUGCCGAAAGGUCGUAUGGCGAGGAAAGUCCGGGCUUCAAGGGCAGGAUAACGGAUAACGUCCGCCGAGGGUGACCUCAGGAAAAGUGCAACAGAAAUAAACCGCCGCGCAAGCGGUAAGGAUGGAAAGGCGAGGUAAGAGCUCACCAUCCCCUUGGUGACAAGGGGAGUCAUGUAAACUCUAUCCGAAGCAACGCCGUGGGAACGGGCUUUGCCCGACGGUUGCCCGCCGUAUUUUCCCUGGGCGGCAGCGCAUAGCGCAAGCCACACGGUAACGGGUGGCGCAGAUAGAUGAUCGCGACCCGAAAGGGUACAGAACCCGGCUUACAAGCUUUGUUGCUCC